Molecule: long non-coding RNA, 3349 nt
Filed under: Musa acuminata (dwarf banana)
Lineage: Eukaryota; Viridiplantae; Streptophyta; Magnoliopsida; Zingiberales; Musaceae
Description: long non-coding RNA (MACU_LNC004898)
Source: RNAcentral
GAACGCGUCUUUCCUCGCCUCCUAUCUUGUUCUUUUCAUGGACGGCGGAUCUUGUCUGAGGCAUGGACUCCCAAUCCAUUGGCCGGUCGGGGUAUGGAUUUGAGGUGCGUUUUCCACCUGUUCCUCGUUUAACAUUUGUUGGGGAAGGUUGCGUCGGCGAGAAAGAGGGGUUCUUGACGGACGAGCAGAGUGGGCUGAUGAGGGGAGACCCCGGACUUCUUUGCCGCUUCCGGAAACCAAUGGUAAGGUUAGGGCUUGAUGGUUGCCUUGUAGAACCUCUCGUUUGCCAUAAUCGUAUCUUUUCUUCUCUUUGGCGAUUAACACUCAACGAUUUCUAGGAAUCCUUUGCGACAUUUGCUUGAUCUUUAUCCCGUACUUAUCUGGUCAUUGAAAAGAUGAAUUGAAUGUCCAAUUUCUAGGGUUUGUGUUUCAAAUGGCAUACUAUAAUAGAUGAAUAAAAUGAUAACUUGUGUAGGGUUUAUUUAUUAAUAUAAGUCACUGCACAUGAUAUAAUUCCUUUAGCAUUGUUUGUACAGUCUCUUGUAGUGCCUUAGAACCAUGGGAUCAUCAUCCUUUGCAUUUUUGUGCUCUUCUUAAGAACUACAAUCGAGAAGAUUUCACAGUAACUAGCUGAAGGCUCCUUCAAGAUAGUUUUGACUUCAUUUAGGACUCCAUUUAAUUCCAUUUUAUCAUUUAUAUAUUCAAAGACAGAUACUAGAAGGAUGAAAGAAUUAGCAUUAGUGACAUUAGGAGAGAGAGAGAGAGAGAUACCUAAGAAUACUGUAUUAGAAUCUAAGGAUAUGAUUUUGAUUCAAUGAGUCAUUAGAAUUAGUAUACUGCACUAUAAUUGUGCUGAAUUCAAUUUCUUUUGAAAAUCUAACUAAUUUGCUUUUGGAUAUGCAUCGUGUACUUUUAUGUUACUAAAUGCAAAGGCUAGCAUUGGUUGAUGAUAUGAACCUCACCAUGCAUCAACAGAUGUACCCAGCAUUUUUGUAUUUACAUAUAGGACUUCCAAUUGGAUGCUUUGGUCCAUCAACAGAAGAAGCACCUGUUCUUUCGAGCAGUUAAACUUGUUCUAAGCGUUCUUUUUCUAUGUCAAUCUUUCAUCAACAUGACCAGCCAACCAUACAUCUCUUCUUGUUAUGUGUUCUCCAUGCUUUCCUAUUAUUGUCUCCUAUAAAAUUAAUCUAUUUAGUUGGAUCCACAUUGUACAGUACUUGUUGCUCUUUAUAUGUUUGGCAUUGUUCUUGAUUAGAUCUGAUUGGCUAGUUACCUACAUCAAGGAUCCCUUCUAUCUCAUAAAUUAUACUUUCAUGUAGUAUUUUGUUAAGUACUUACUAUGAAAGUUUGCAUAUUAGUUUUAACUCUAGAAAGCAUUUAAAAUUCAACCCAUUAUUUGCUGUCUAUUCUGUUUUCUUUAUUUAAAUAUUAUCCUUUUCAGUAAUUUCAGAUGAAACUUAAUCUCAUUUGUAUAGUGUGCCAUGCCAAUGCUAUGUUCCCUGUUCCCUUGGAAGAAACCAAGAAAAACUUGAUAAUUAAGAGUUUUGGUACUGAAUUUAUUUGCCUUUAACUUCAGAUGUGUUCAACUGCCAUGGAUGAAAACCAUUUGAGAUCCUCUCUAAGAGAGAAGACCUAUGAUUGUUUUUGCAUGCAUCGAGUUCGACCUAAGCCCUUCCAGUUAAUAUUCUAUCGUAAAAAUAUGUAUUUCUUGUUUUGUUACUUUACGAGAGCAAAUGCUAUAGAUAGGGAUGGCAGCAGCAUUGUCUUUACAGCUACUGAAGUAUCUCCAACCAUUUAAAUUGGUUUCAGUACUCUUUAAUUUGGUUUGAGACAGACAAAUUGAGUAGAAAAGUAGGUACCUGAUUCAGGUUUGAAUCGAGGUACUAUGUAGUUAGACAUAUUUGGUUUCUGGCUGAUAGAGACAAAAUUGUUCAUCCCACGUAAUCUUGACAUGUGGAAUUCGAUGCAAGAUGACUACAAAAUAUCAGAACGAUCAUGUUAGCACCUAUCGUAACGAAAGAUAUUUUUUAGAUCAAAAAUGAUUUAGAGAAUAUUUCCUUGAUCCUAAGUGCUUUAGGACUCUUGUCCUCUUGGAGUAGUAGGGUUAGACCCUAUCUCAUUCUCUCUCGAUCUUCUCUCCUUCUCUAUUACCAUUGGAGGGGUCACAUUCGUCGGGAUGGAUUAGCGGCUUGUCGAGGCUCAGUUUAUCCUCUCGGAAUUUUCACAACACUAGUAGAAGAAAAUUCACGAGUAUCCUACUUGUCAUCAUUCAGAUGUUGUACGAGCCACUUAAACCGGGGUUAGAUAGAAAAACAGGUACUUUAGUCGGGUUUAGAUUAGGGUUUAGACCCAAUGUGGUUGGUCAGGGUUCAGAUAUUGGUGAAACAUAUGGGCAUGGAACCAAGUUGCUAUCCCUACCAAUAAAGUCAUGUCUUUUAAUUGCCCAGCAGCAUGUGGAGAACGUGAGGCUACUAUGUACCACAUUGUUAGUCAUCAAAUCUUUGUAAGUUCAUUACUAAUGAGAAGGAAUUCUAGCCAUCUUUGGUCCUCUAAAGACUUUCAUGAUAGUAUGCACAAGAUCACGUGAUCAUGUGUAAACAAAAUUGUAGCUACAAUAUACGACUGGUAGUCUCCAUAGAGAGAGGUCUUCCCCAUCUCCAAAUCUAGGGAGGCAAGAACACCCAAGGAACUGGGGGCAGGAAAGGCAAGGCACGGCGCUAACCCCAUUCAUUCAUUCCCCUUCCGUUGGGCAGGCAAAAGACUAGAGGAGGAGGAGCAGCAGCUGAGAGGGGGGAAUGAGGCAAAAGUGGAAGCCAUGGGGCAGAGGCAGAGCAAUCCUCGGGACCCCACUCGCAUCCUUCCAAACUCCCAAGCACUGCAAUGUGCGAUGUGCGAUGUGCAAUGUGAUGCAUGAUGGGAGACGGCCUCAGCAGUGACAACCCCCUGUUUCGAUGACAAAAGCAGGUCCCCUGAAAGAGGAGAAAGCAAGCAAAAGGUGGCACUGCCUCCCUGCUUGCUUCUUGUCAAACGGCACAAGCUAGUUAAGCACCAUGAAAAGGGGAUGGAGAUGGCGAUUGCGAUGGCGACGGUGAUGGUGAUAGCGAUGGCGAUGGGGUCUCUCUCUCUCUCUCACUCUCUCUUCACAAAGUCCACCCCACCACCUCAGUACACUUGGAUGGAAUGUUUCCUGCUGCAUUUUAGCUUGCCAUUGAUGUGUACAAAUAAUACUUGGUGGUGGGAAAUUAAACUCGCAAUUUUGAGGUGAAGAUUAAUCAUCAAAAUUCGCAUAAUUCCCGUUGAGAACAAUGUGCGACGGAGAAUCUCUCUCUCCGAGAAAGUAUUAUGUUCC